GCUGUGUGCCCAGGGGUGUCCCUAUAUCUGUGGGGUGUCCCUGUCCCCCUAGGGUGCCCCAUCUCCCGCUGGUCCCAUGGGUGUCCCUGCCCCAUAGAGUUCCCUGUGUCCUGGUGGCCCUGUGGGGUUUCCCUAUACCCCGUGGGGCAUCCCUACCCCCAUAUCCCAUGGGGUGUCCCCAUAUCCCAUAGGGUGCCCUUGUCCCUUAGGGUUUCUUAUGUCCUGGUAGUCCCACGGGGUGUCCCUAUAUCCCAUGGGGUUCCCCUGUCCCAUAGGGUUCCCCAUCUCUUGCUGGUCCCAUAGAGUUCCCCCUAAUCUCCUGGUGGCCCUGUGGGCUGGCCCUAUAUCCUGUGGGGCAUCCCUAUAUCCCAUGGGGUGUCCCUGGAUCCCAUAGGAUUCCCAUCUCCUGGUCAUCCCGUGGGGCGACCCUAUAUCCUGUGGGGUGUUCCUGUAUCCCAUGGGCUUCCCCUGUCCCAUAGAGUUCCCUGUCUCCUGAUGGUCCUGUGGGGUUUCCCUAUAUCCUAUGGUGUGUCCCUAUAUCCCAUAGGAUUCCCAUCUCCUGGUGGUCCCAUGGAGUGUCCCUAUGUCCUGUGGGGCUCCCCUAUAUCCUGUGGGGUGUCCCUAUAUCCCAUGGGCUUCCCCUGUCCCAUAGAGUUCCCUGUCUCCUGAUGAUCCUGUGGGGUUUCCCUAUAUCCUAUGGGGCAUUCCUACCCCUAUGUUCUACGGGGCAUCCCUAUAUCCCAUAGGAUUCCCAUCUCCUGGUGGCCCCAUGGGGCGUCCCUGUAUCCCAUGGGGCGUCCCUAUAUCCUGUGGGGUGUUCCUAUGUCCCAUGGGAUUCCCAUCUCCUGGUGGUUCUAUGGGGUGUCCCUAUAUCCCAUGAGGCAUCCCCAUAUCCUGCUGGGAUCCCCUAUAUCCCACAGGGUGUCCCUAUAUCCCACGGGGCGUCCCUAUAUCCUAUGGGGUUCCCCAUCUUUUGCUGUCCCUUAGAGCUCCCCCUAAUCUCCUGGUGGCCCUGUGGGGCGUCCCCAUAUCCUGCUGGGAUCCCCUAUAUCCCAUGGGGUGCCCCUAUAUCCCAUGGGGUGCCCCUAUAUCCCAUGGGGUUCUCCCCUCCUGGUGGUCCCAUAGCCCCCCCCCUCUGGGGUCUCCACAUC
RNAcentral lists this long non-coding RNA (1151 nucleotides) under Numida meleagris (helmeted guineafowl). RNAcentral describes it as "lncRNA (ENSNMEG00000006396.1)". Lineage: Eukaryota; Metazoa; Chordata; Aves; Galliformes; Numididae. The record is from RNAcentral.